ACGGGUGAGUAAUGCCUAGGAAUCUGCCUGGUAGUGGGGGAUAACGUCCGGAAACGGGCGCUAAUACCGCAUACGUCCUGGGGGAGAAAGUGGGGGAUCUUCGGACCUCACGCUAUCAGAUGAGCCUAGGUCGGAUUAGCUAGUUGGUGGGGUAAAGGCCUACCAAGGCGACGAUCCGUAACUGGUCUGAGAGGAUGAUCAGUCACACUGGAACUGAGACACGGUCCAGACUCCUACGGGAGGCAGCAGUGGGGAAUAUUGGACAAUGGGCGAAAGCCUGAUCCAGCCAUGCCGCGUGUGUGAAGAAGGUCUUCGGAUUGUAAAGCACUUUAAGUUGGGAGGAAGGGCAGUAAGUUAAUACCUUGCUGUUUUGACGUUACCAACAGAAUAAGCACCGGCUAACUUCGUGCCAGCAGCCGCGGUAAUACGAAGGGUGCAAGCGUUAAUCGGAAUUACUGGGCGUAAAGCGCGCGUAGGUGGUUCAGCAAGUUGGAUGUGAAAUCCCCGGGCUCAACCUGGGAACUGCAUCCAAAACUACUGAGCUAGAGUACGGUAGAGGGUGGUGGAAUUUCCUGUGUAGCGGUGAAAUGCGUAGAUAUAGGAAGGAACACCAGUGGCGAAGGCGACCACCUGGACUGAUACUGACACUGAGGUGCGAAAGCGUGGGGAGCAAACAGGAUUAGAUANCCUGGUAGUCCACGCCGUAAACGAUGUCGACUAGCC
RNAcentral lists this ribosomal RNA (723 nucleotides) under uncultured Pseudomonadaceae bacterium. RNAcentral's name for it is "SSU rRNA". It matches the Rfam family "Bacterial small subunit ribosomal RNA", at positions 102 to 821 of the family's 1533-position model. Lineage: Bacteria; Pseudomonadati; Pseudomonadota; Gammaproteobacteria; Pseudomonadales; Pseudomonadaceae. The record is from RNAcentral.